This 643-nucleotide ribosomal RNA is filed under the name uncultured Actinomycetes bacterium. RNAcentral describes it as "bacterial SSU rRNA". It matches the Rfam family "Bacterial small subunit ribosomal RNA", at positions 232 to 885 of the family's 1533-position model. The record is from RNAcentral. Lineage: Bacteria; Bacillati; Actinomycetota; Actinomycetes.
CGCGGCCUAUCAGCUUGUUGGUGAGGUAAUGGCUCACCAAGGCGUCGACGGGUAGCCGGCCUGAGAGGGUGACCGGCCACACUGGGACUGAGACACGGCCCAGACUCCUACGGGAGGCAGCAGUGGGGAAUAUUGCACAAUGGGCGGAAGCCUGAUGCAGCAACGCCGCGUGAGGGAUGACGGCCUUCGGGUUGUAAACCUCUUUUAGCAAGGAAGAAGCGAAAGUGACGGUACUUGCAGAAAAAGCGCCGGCUAACUACGUGCCAGCAGCCGCGGUAAUACGUAGGGCGCAAGCAUUAUCCGGAAUUAUUGGGCGUAAAGAGCUCGUAGGCGGUCUGUCGCGUCUGCUGUGAAAACCCGAGGCUCAACCUCGGGCCUGCAGUGGGUACGGGCAGACUAGAGUGCGGUAGGGGAGAUUGGAAUUCCUGGUGUAGCGGUGGAAUGCGCAGAUAUCAGGAGGAACACCGAUGGCGAAGGCAGAUCUCUGGGCCGUAACUGACGCUGAGGAGCGAAAGGGUGGGGAGCAAACAGGCUUAGAUACCCUGGUAGUCCACCCCGUAAACGUUGGGAACUAGUUGUGGGGUCCUUUCCACGGAUUCCGUGACGCAGCUAACGCAUUAAGCUCCCCGCCUGGGGAGUACGG